This 468-nucleotide ribosomal RNA is filed under the name uncultured bacterium. Its description in RNAcentral is "partial 16S ribosomal RNA". It matches the Rfam family "Bacterial small subunit ribosomal RNA", at positions 28 to 507 of the family's 1533-position model. The record is from RNAcentral.
GACGAACGCUGGCGGCGUGCUUAACACAUGCAAGUCGAACGGAAAGGCCCUGCUUUUGUGGGGUGCUCGAGUGGCGAACGGGUGAGUAACACGUGAGUCACCUGCCCUUGACUUUGGGAUAACUUCAGGAAACUGGGGCUAAUACCGGAUAGGCGCUCCUGCUGCAUGGUGGGGGUUGGAAAGUUUCGGCGGGUGGGGAUGGACUCGCGGCUUAUCAGCUUGUUGGUGGGGUAGUGGCUUACCAAGGCUUUGACGGGUAGCCGGCCUGAGAGGGUGACCGGCCACAUUGGGACUGAGAUACGGCCCAGACUCCUACGGGAGGCAGCAGUGGGGAAUAUUGCACAAUGGGCGGAAGCCUGAUGCAGCAACGCCGCGUGCGGGAUGACGGCCUUCGGGUUGUAAACCGCUUUCGCCUGUGACGAAGCGUGAGUGACGGUAAUGGGUAAAGAAGCACCGGCUAACUACGUG